Molecule: ribosomal RNA, 889 nt
Filed under: uncultured archaeon
Lineage: Archaea
Description: bacterial SSU rRNA
Rfam family: Archaeal small subunit ribosomal RNA
Source: RNAcentral
CUGCUAUCGGAUUGAUACUAAGCCAUGCGAGUCUUUGCAGUAAUGCAAGGCGGACUGCUCAGUAACACGUAGUCAACUUAACCUAUGGAUGGGUAUAACCUCGGGAAACUGAGAAUAAUUCCCAAUAGAUCAUUUAUCCUGGAAUGGUUGAUGAUUGAAAUGAUUCGUCGCCAUAGGAUGGGACUGCGGCCUAUCAGCUUGUUGGUGAGGUAAAGGCCCACCAAGGCUAUUACAGGUACGGGCUCUGAGAGGAGAAGCCCGGAGAUGGGUACUGAGACACGGACCCAGGCCCUAUGGGGCGCAGCAGGCGAGAAAACUUUGCAAUGUGCGAAAGCACGACAAGGUUAAUCCGAGUGAUUUCUGCUAAAGAAAUCUUUUGCCAGUUCUAAAAAUACUGGUGAAUAAGGGGUGGGCAAGUUCUGGUGUCAGCCGCCGCGGUAAAACCAGCACCUCAAGUUGUCAGGAGGAUUAUUGGGCCUAAAGCAUCCGUAGCCGGCUCUGUUAGUUUUCGGUUAAAUCCAUAUGCUCAACAUAUGGGCUGUCGGAAAUACUGCAGAGCUAGGGAAUGGGAGAGGUAGACGGUACUCGGUAGGAAGGGGUAAAAUCCUUUGAUCUAUCGAUGACCACCUGUGGCGAAGGCGGUCUACCAGAACAUGUUCGACGGUGAGGGAUGAAAGCUGGGGGAGCAAACCGGAUUAGAUACCCGGGUAGUCCCAGCUGUAAACGAUGCAGACUAGAUGAUGCAUUAGCAUAUAGCUAGUGCAGUGUCUCAGGGAAGCCGUUAAGUCUGCCGCCUGGGAAGUACGUACGCAAGUAUGAAACUUAAAGGAAUUGGCGGGGGAGCACCACAAGGGGUGAAGCCUGCGGUUCAAUUGGAGUCAACGCCGGA